GACGAACGCUGGCGGCGUGCCUAACACAUGCAAGUCGAGCGAGUGAAUCUCCUUCGGGAGUGAAGCUAGCGGCGGACGGGUGAGUAACACGUGGGCAACCUGCCUCAUAGAGGGGAAUAGCCUUUCGAAAGGAAGAGUAAUACCGUAUGUGGUCGAGAGACGAAAGAUUUAUCGCCAAAGGAUCGGCCCGCGUUGGAUUAGGUAGUUGGUGGGGUAAUGGCCUACCAAGCCGACGAUCCAUAGCUGGUUUGAGAGGAUGAUCAGCCACACUGGGACUGAGACACGGCCCAGACUCCUACGGGAGGCAGCAGUGGGGAAUCUUAGACAAUGGGGGAAACCCUGAUCUAGCCAUGCCGCGUGAUCGAUGAAGGCCUUAGGGUUGUAAAGAUCUUUCAGUGGGGAAGAUAAUGACUGUACCCACAGAAGAAGCCCCGGCUAACUCCGUGCCAGCAGCCGCCGCCG
This 462-nucleotide ribosomal RNA is filed under the name uncultured bacterium. RNAcentral describes it as "partial 16S ribosomal RNA". It matches the Rfam family "Bacterial small subunit ribosomal RNA", at positions 28 to 523 of the family's 1533-position model. The record is from RNAcentral.